This is a long non-coding RNA of Homo sapiens (human), 548 nucleotides long. NCBI's taxonomy places the organism in Eukaryota, Metazoa, Chordata, Mammalia, Primates, Hominidae. The record is from Ensembl.
AGAACCUGUGACUUGUUCUUAACCAACAGACUAUGACAAAGAGAUCUAAAAUGAAUCAAGGCAUUUCUUGAAAUUCAAUGGCUUUUUUUUUCAUUUGGGAAUGUUCAAAUGUAUGUUAAUAAUCUUCCUGUUCACCCCACUCAACAACUGGCUCGUCAUUCAUACGCAAAAUGAGGUAAGAAAGAAGCUGAAAAAGAUUCUGCCAGAAUAAGAGAGAGACAUAAAAGGAGAGGCUGCUUACGUCCACCUCGCAGCGCUCGCCAGCAAAGGCAACAUCACAGAGGCACUGGAAUUUGUUGACAGGUCACAGAUUGCCUGAAGCCAUUGACCAACUCCAUUUUAAGAAUUCCUGUAUGAGGUGAAGAACAGUUGAAGAGUUUCUCUGGGAAAAGUAGACUCAUAUGGAUAAGAGCUGAACUCCAGUUGCCCUGCCAAGACUUGCUGCUCCCUAUGUAAUAAUUCAUAGCUUCGAAGAAUGCAAGCCAAAUGCUGUCCAGGAGCUUUGUAUAUAGCACACGAUGGUAACUGCAUGUGAAUUCAGAGUGUGG